GAGAAAGCAGCUGGAUGAAUUUAAGUGGAAGCCGACUUGAACUUCCGCUACCAGCCAGUGGCCCCAGCUCACAUUGUGUCUGGAACUGGUGAGUUCUUGGUCUCGCUGACUUCAAGAAUGAAGCUGCAGACCCUCACGGACAAAUGGAUCAGGAUCUAAUCUGCUUACUCUUGCUAUACUUGCCAGCAAUUUUGAUGUGAUCAUAGGAUUAUCUUCAGCAUUUCAAACACUUGAACUCUGCAUUCAUUUUUAGCAUGUCAACCAAGGUGGCAGGUAUUUUUGUCAAAAGGCAAAAUCCAACUCCAGUACCUCUUUGGGAUUAUAUGUCUGGAACGUAUAACAGCCAAUUUGGAAUUAUGAAAGUAUCUGAAGUGAAAAGAAUGGUACUGAGAUAUUGCCUGUUUCCAGCACCGCUUCAGAAUGAUCCAGAACAAUGUCUUCUCAUAGAAAUGGAAUGGGAACCACAUAUGCCACUUUACAUUUCCUAGGCAGUCACCCGAUAAAUGGUCAAGGUGCCUCUGGAGAAGGCUUGAGAGAAGAAGCCAUAUAUAGAGUCAUAUCUCAGUUGAGCCUCCAAGCCAAAGGCUUUAUAUCUAGAAACUGGACUUUCCAGCCCCCAGAACUGAAUGAUCAUGUUCCUCGAAUAGGGAUUGAAGAUGCCUCUAUCCCGGAAAAGAGAUUAUACCUCUGUAUGGAUGCUCGCCAAGCAAAGCACAUCUGUGAACAAAGAACUUAGUGGGAAAAAAACUUAAUGCAAGGCAACCUAAAGGUCACUGCUAAUGCAAAUACUGAAAAAAAAAAAGCCUUACUCACAGAUAAUUGUUAUUCCCUGGAUCUAGAACUAAUAUUGGAAAGUAUUUUGUCAAGGGUAUGUUUCCUUGAAAUACGAUAAUGAGAGCAAUUAUAUUUGCUUUCCCCAACACUUCCAAACUUCCAUACAGAUGUUCAUAACUUUAAAAAGAAAAUUUCUAGAUUGAGUUACCCUAUUUACUGUUCUUUUAUGACUUUAUACACUGUCAUUCUUUUAGAUGCUUCCCAAACCCCAAAUCUAUAUUCUAAUUCAGGUUUCUGUUUAAAGCUAAAACAUUGUUUCUAUUUGGGUAGUUACAGUUUCUUCACUAGCUCUAGAACUUUAUGAAUAAAAAGAAGAAAAUUUGUACUUUUUAUAUUAAAUUUGUACUUUUUGUUCUACAUUAGAGGCAUGUGGAAUAGAUGGUCAGGGAAGUAAUUGCUGUCACCUCCAAUUAAUGUGGUCUGGGAAAGAGGCUCCACCCUUCCAAUCACGAUGCAUUAACAUUUUUCACACGGGAUAAUAAUGAUCAUUUAUCAUGUCUUCUAGAUGACAACAUACAGUUAGAUGGUCCAUGCUUCUUAGUCAGCAUGUCAGAAAUAUUUUAUCAUGGUUGCAUCAACUCUUGGUGGCAUUAAAUGCCACAAAACCCCUCACUAUGCACUGUCACCGUUAGUCUGGCUCUGAAGUCCAUUGGCCAGCCAGCCCUGUGUAGUGUUCUCAAUCAAUGUUCUCCCAGGCAGACAUACAAAAGUAUAUUUUCCAUAGGCCACAAAGACUCCUUCUUUUUGUCUACAGUGCACAAACUGGUAUGUACAUACAUUGUUUCAUCGAAAGUGUUGCAAAUUACGUUGUCAAAAUUCUCUCCAUUUGUUCUAAAUACCUCUUCUUUGUUUAGCAUUAAGUUUCCAAAACAAAUAAUCAUUAGAUAGUAGGCAUUGAUGGUGAAAAAAUUAUAGGUUUUUAAAGUGUGUUUAACACAAAAUGCUAUUAUUCUACAAUAGUAAGCAGGGAAAUAAAAUUGAAACCACUAAUCUCUAAAAUAGUGAUAUGAUGAAGUAUUUUGAAAUCAAGGUGUCCUAGAGAGCCUUUUGCUAUUGACUGUCUUCACCUGAGAUGAGGCGCAUGACAAAAAAACAACUGGG
Molecule: long non-coding RNA, 1935 nt
Organism: Macaca mulatta (Rhesus monkey)
Lineage: Eukaryota; Metazoa; Chordata; Mammalia; Primates; Cercopithecidae
Source: Ensembl